RNAcentral lists this ribosomal RNA (690 nucleotides) under uncultured Thermoplasmatales archaeon. RNAcentral describes it as "bacterial SSU rRNA". It matches the Rfam family "Archaeal small subunit ribosomal RNA", at positions 669 to 1355 of the family's 1478-position model. Lineage: Archaea; Methanobacteriati; Thermoplasmatota; Thermoplasmata; Thermoplasmatales. The record is from RNAcentral.
AAAGCGUCUGACUUGAACGGCUCCGACGAUGAGGAACGAAGGCUAGGGGAGCAAACCGGAUUAGAUACCCGGGUAGUCCUAGCUGUAAACUCUGCCCGCUUGGUGUGGCCUGUCCUUCGGGGGCAGGCUGUGCCGGAGCGAAGGUGUUAAGCGGGCUGCUUGGGGAGUACGGCCGCAAGGUUGAAACUUAAAGGAAUUGGCGGGGGAGCACCGCAACGGGAGGAUGCGUGCGGUUUAAUUGGAUUCAACGCCGGAAAACUCACCUGAGGAGACCAGCGUAUGUGGGUCAAGCCGAAGACUUUACCCGAACAACAGCUGGAGAGGUGGUGCAUGGCCAUCGUCAGCUCGUACCGUAGGGCAUUCACUUAAGUGUGAUAACGAGCGAGACCCCCAUCCCUAGUUGCUAACCCCUCCGAAAGGAGAGGUGCACUCUAGGGAGACCGCUUCCGCUAAGGAAGAGGAAGGAGGGGUCGACGGUAGGUCAGUAUGCCCCGAAUCCUCAGGGCAACACGCGCGCUACAAAGGACAGGACAAUGGGUUCCAACCCCGAAAGGGGAAGGUAAUCCCGAAACCUGUUCGUAGUCCGGAUUGAGGGCUGUAACUCGCCCUCAUGAAGGUGGAUUCCGUAGUAAUCGCGGAUCAACAGUCCGCGGUGAAUAUGCCCCUGCUCCUUGCACACACCGCCCGUCA